Long non-coding RNA from Homo sapiens (human), 730 nucleotides. Ensembl annotates it as MIR548X host gene. Its record names the gene MIR548XHG. The record is from Ensembl. NCBI's taxonomy places the organism in Eukaryota, Metazoa, Chordata, Mammalia, Primates, Hominidae.
GGAAGUGGCUCGCCACCAUUUUGGCAACCAGGAAGGGACCUCCAAAGCGGGAGAAAGCAUUUAUGGUGAGGAGAAAAGCAGCUGGUAUCACACUCUACCCAAGUCCCAAAAGCAGGUUCACAUAACUCCUGUCUUCAUUAUCUGAUAUCCGUAUGAAGAAUGUAAGAUAGAAAAAAACAUUAGCAUUUGAGAGGAUUGAAAGAGAAGCAUUCUCAGCAGAGCCAAGAUUCACUUAGAACAAAAGGACAUUUGAAGUUCUACAAUGAACCCGUCGGAGAUGCAAAGAAAAGGGCCUCCACGGAGUCUGCAGGUGUACCCAACAGCUCCGAAGAGACAGCGACCAUCAAGAACAGGCCAAGAUGACGAUGGCAGUUUUGUCGAAAAGAGAAGGGGGAAAUGUGGGGAAAAGCAAGAGAGAUCAGAUUGUUACUGUGUCUGUGUAGAAAGAAGUAGACAUAGGAGACUCCAUUUUCUUAUGUACUAGGAGAAAUUCUUCUGCCUUGAGAUUCUGUUAAUCUAUGACCUUACCUCCAACCCCGUGCUCUCUGAAACAUGUGCUGUGUCAACUCAGAGUUGAAUGGAUUAAGGGCAGUGCAAGAUGUGCUUUGUUAAACAGAUGCUUGAAGGCAGCAUGCUCCUUAAGAGUCAUCACCAGGACUUUCUUAUAAGCUAAUUAACAAAUUUGUACAUGGUUAACAAUUGUUUACAUUAAAUUCUAUUGGUAAAGUAA